AGGAAACACAGCACAUCCUCUCAAUGUAAAUCUUUGGGAGGGGCGGAAACAUGUUCAGCUGAGGCUGAACCCUGACAUUGGAUCUAAACAUCCAGCUGACGCCAGACUGCUGUGAAGAGAGAAGAUAUGGGGGAUUCGUUGUCUUUCAAACUUCUAACCUUGACCUAAGUCACUGGUUCAGUGUCAGCGAUAGUUUUUGGAGUGGCAGGGCCAGUGACAGUGGGAGUGGUGACGGGAAUUACCUUGUACGCCAUCCUGACAAGUGAAGACAAUCCACAGGCACCCGCCCCACAGAUGGAGACAAAUUAAUGACUCUAAAAUGAACUGCAAAAACAUCAGUUGAAUCAUGACUGCAAUAAAAACGAUGGCAGACAAA
Epinephelus lanceolatus (giant grouper) is the source of this 376-nucleotide long non-coding RNA. RefSeq lists it as uncharacterized. The record is from RefSeq and is a predicted model, not a curated record. Lineage: Eukaryota; Metazoa; Chordata; Actinopteri; Perciformes; Serranidae.